RNAcentral lists this microRNA precursor (107 nucleotides) under Pelobates cultripes (western spadefoot toad). Lineage: Eukaryota; Metazoa; Chordata; Amphibia; Anura; Pelobatidae. The record is from RNAcentral.
GUAGACCCUCCCUCCCAGACCCUCCUACUUCCUGGACAGCAUCCAUGUCAUGUCAUGGAUGCUGUCCAGGAAGUAGGAGGGUCUGGGAGGGAGGGUCUGCUGGAGAU